RNAcentral lists this unclassified non-coding RNA (282 nucleotides) under fungal sp. RNAcentral's name for it is "partial internal transcribed spacer region". The stretch from base 1 to 46 matches the Rfam family "Eukaryotic small subunit ribosomal RNA", at positions 1786 to 1831 of the family's 1831-position model. Lineage: Eukaryota; Fungi. The record is from RNAcentral.
AAGUCGUAACAAGGUUUCCGUAGGUGAACCUGCGGAAGGAUCAUUAUUGAAUUUAAUGUAGAGCUGGUUGUAGCUGGCUCCCUUGGAUUAAUUUCUUUGGGGGCAUGUGCACACCUUCUCUUUCAUCCACACACACCUGUGAACCUGUGAGAUAGUAGUUUGGGGACUUUAAUGGACCCACUUCUGUCUACUUAAUUCAUAUAAAAUCAAUUUAAUUUAAAACGAAUGUAAUGGAUGUAACGCAUCUAAUACUAAGUUUCAACAACGGAUCUCUUGGCUCUC